GACGAACGCUGGCGGCGUGCUUAACACAUGCAAGUCGAACGCUGAAGCCCAGCUUGCUGGGUGGAUGAGUGGCGAACGGGUGAGUAACACGUGAGUAACCUGCCCCCUUCUUUGGGAUAACGCCCGGAAACGGGUGCUAAUACUGGAUAUUCACUGGCUUUCGCAUGGGGGUUGGUGGAAAGGUUUUUUCUGGUGGGGGAUGGGCUCGCGGCCUAUCAGCUUGUUGGUGGGGUGAUGGCCUACCAAGGCUUUGACGGGUAGCCGGCCUGAGAGGGUGACCGGUCACAUUGGGACUGAGAUACGGCCCAGACUCCUACGGGAGGCAGCAGUGGGGAAUAUUGCACAAUGGGCGAAAGCCUGAUGCAGCGACGCCGCGUGAGGGAUGACGGCCUUCGGGUUGUAAACCUCUUUCGCUCAUGGUCAAGCCGCAGCUUUGGGUUGUGGUGAGGGUAGUGGGUAAAGAAGCGCCGGCUAACUACGUGCCAGCAGCCGCGGUAAUACGUAGGGCGCGAGCGUUGUCCGGAAUUAUUGGGCGUAAAGGGCUUGUAGGCGGUUGGUCGCGUCUGCCGUGAAAUCCUCUGGCUUAACUGGGGGCGUGCGGUGGUACGGGCUGACUUGAGUGCGGUAGGGGAGACUGGAGCUCCUGGGGUAGCGUGUAAUGCACAAAUAUCAGGCAGAACACCCGCUGGCGAAGGCGGGGUCUGGGGCCCUACUGACCCUGAGAGGAAGCAUGGGACGAACACG
RNAcentral lists this ribosomal RNA (744 nucleotides) under uncultured Actinomyces sp. Its description in RNAcentral is "bacterial SSU rRNA". It matches the Rfam family "Bacterial small subunit ribosomal RNA", at positions 28 to 774 of the family's 1533-position model. Lineage: Bacteria; Bacillati; Actinomycetota; Actinomycetes; Actinomycetales; Actinomycetaceae. The record is from RNAcentral.